AGAGUUUGAUCCUGGCUCAGGACGAACGCUGGCGGCGUGCUUAACACAUGCAAGUCGAACGAAGUUAAGGGGCUUGCUCCUUAACUUAGUGGCGGACGGGUGAGUAACGCGUGAGCAACCUGCCCGUAUCUGGGGAAUAACACAAAGAAAUUUGUGCUAAUACCGCAUAUUAUCUUUGUAGGGCAUCCUACUUAGAUGAAAGAUUUUAUCGGAUACGGAUGGGCUCGCGUCCCAUUAAAUAGUUGGUGAGGUAACGGCCCACCAAGUCGAUGAUGGGUAGCCGACCUGAGAGGGUGAUCGGCCACAUUGGAACUGAGAAACGGUCCAGACUCCUACGGGAGGCAGCAGUGGGGAAUAUUGGGCAAUGGAGGCAACUCUGACCCAGCAACGCCGCGUGAAUGAUGAAGGUCCUCGGAUUGUAAAGUUCUGUGAUGGAGGAAGAAGAAAGUGACAGUACUCCAAGAGCAAGUCACGGCUAACUACGUGCCAGCAGCCGCGGUAAUACGUAGGUGACAAGCGUUGUCCGGAAUGACUGGGCGUAAAGCGUGCGUAGGCGGUUGAACAAGUUAGUGAUGAAAUUCCAGGGCUUAACCCUGGCGCUAUUACUAAAACUGUUUGACUUGAGUGCGAGAGAGGUAAGUGGAAUUCCUAGUGUAGCGGUGGAAUGCGUAGAUAUUAGGAGGAACACCAGUGGCGAAGGCGACUUACUGGCUCGUUACUGACGCUGAGGCACGAAAGCGUGGGGAGCAAACAGGAUUAGAUACCCUGGUAGUCCACGCCGUAAACGAUGAAUGCUAGGUGUGGGGGGACUGACCCCCUCCGUGCCGGAGUUAACACAUUAAGCAUUCCACCUGGGGAGUACGACCGCAAGGUUGAAACUCAAAGGAAUUGACGGGGGCCCGCACAAGCAGUGGAGUAUGUGGUUUAAUUCGACGCAACGCGAAAAACCUUACCAGAGAUUGACAUCCUAAGAAGUCGGCGUAAUGGCUGAUGUGCCCUUCGGGGAACUUAGAGACAGGUGGUGCAUGGUUGUCGUCAGCUCGUGUCGUGAGAUGUUGGGUUAAGUCCCGCAACGAGCGCAACCCUUACCUUUAGUUGCUACGCAAGAGCACUCUAGAGGGACUGCCGUUGACAAAACGGAGGAAGGUGGGGAUGACGUCAAAUCAUCAUGCCCCUUACGUUUUGGGCUACACACGUACUACAAUGGCGCAAACAAAGGGAAGCGAAAGAGCGAUCUGGAGCAAACCCCAUAAAAGGCGUCUCAGUUCAGAUUGCAGGCUGCAACUCGCCUGCAUGAAGCUGGAAUUGCUAGUAAUCGCGGAUCAGCGUGCCGCGGUGAAUACGUUCCCGGGCUUUGUACACACCGCCCGUCAAACCAUGAAAGUCGGAAACACCCGAAGUCAGUGAGCUAACCGCAAGGGGGCAGCUGCCGAAGGUGGGUUCGGUGAUUGGGGUUAAGUCGUAACAAGGUAACCGU
This 1477-nucleotide ribosomal RNA is filed under the name uncultured bacterium. RNAcentral describes it as "bacterial SSU rRNA". It matches the Rfam family "Bacterial small subunit ribosomal RNA". The record is from RNAcentral.